RNAcentral lists this small RNA (29 nucleotides) under Bombyx mori (domestic silkworm). RNAcentral's name for it is "ovarian small RNA-19673". Lineage: Eukaryota; Metazoa; Arthropoda; Insecta; Lepidoptera; Bombycidae. The record is from RNAcentral.
UAAUCGCGGCGAUGUAAUCUCGUAUGAUC